UCCUGCAGGAUGUCCCCACCGUCCGUGGGAGGAGUUCCGGAUUCCAGGGCUGGGCAGGUUCCCCACCCCCACCUGUCCAAACCUGUCCCACUGGUCGGGCGGGGCCGAUGGCCCAACCUGGGACACCGCACCUGGGGGGCGGGGCCACCGGGACAGGGGGCGGGGCCUCCAGGUGGUCCCAAGGUCCUGGUGGUCACUCUCAAGGUGGUCACAGGUCCAGGUGGCCCCAAGGUCUAGGUGGCCCCAAGGUCCAGGUGGUCACUCUCAAGGUGGUUCCAAGGUCCAAGGUGGUCACAGGUCCAGGUGGUCACAGGUGCAGGUGGUUCCAAGGUCCAGGUAGUCAGAGGUCCAGGUGGUCCCAACGUCCAGGUGGUCCCAAGGUUCAGGCGGUCACAGGUUCAGGUGGUCACUCUCAAGGUGGGCACAGGUUCAGGUGACCAUGGCCAAGGUGGUCCCAAGGUUCAGGUGGUCCCAAGGUUCAGGUGGUCCCAAGGUUCAGGUGGUCCCAAGGUUCAGGUGGUCACUCUCCAGGUGGUCACAGGGUUCAGGUGAUCGUCAUCAAAGUGGUCACAGGUCCAGGUGACCAUGGCCAAGGUGGCCACAAGGUCAAGGUGGUCAUAGGUCCAGGUGGUCUCAAUGUUCAGGUGGCCAAAAGGACCAGUUGACCAUGGCCAAGGUGGUCACAAGGUCCAGGUGUUUAUGGCCAAGGUGGUCACAAAGUUCAAGUUGUGGUCAAGGUGGUCACAGGGUCAAGGU
RNAcentral lists this long non-coding RNA (756 nucleotides) under Serinus canaria (Common canary). Its description in RNAcentral is "lncRNA (ENSSCAG00000008190.1)". Lineage: Eukaryota; Metazoa; Chordata; Aves; Passeriformes; Fringillidae. The record is from RNAcentral.